Molecule: ribosomal RNA, 415 nt
Filed under: uncultured bacterium
Lineage: Bacteria
Description: bacterial SSU rRNA
Rfam family: Bacterial small subunit ribosomal RNA
Source: RNAcentral
GGCGGACGGGUGAGUAACGCGUGAGGAGCUGUCCUAUGCAGGGGGACAACAGUUGGAAACGACUGCUAAUACCCCAUAAGCCGAGAGGUAAAAGGAUUUAUCCGGCAGAGGAGGUACUCGCGUCCUAUCAGCUAGUAGGUGAGGUAACGGCUCACCUAGGCGAAGACGGGUAGCCGGCCUGAGAGGGCGAACGGCCACACUGGAACUGAGAUACGGUCCAGACUCCUACGGGAGGCAGCAGUGGGGAAUAUUGCACAAUGGACGAAAGUCUGAUGCAGCAACGCCGCGUGGAGGAUGACACAUUUCGGUGCGUAAACUCCUUUUAUAUAAGAAGAUAAUGACGGUAUUAUAUGAAUAAGCACCGGCUAACUCCGUGCCAGCAGCCGCGGUAAUACGGGGGGUGCAAGCGUUACUC